CCUACGGGCGGCUGCAGCGCUAACGCCAAACUUCUCUUCGAUAGCCUUUACCAGUUCUGACAGCUCCAGCACUGUCAUUUUCUCUAUCGCACUGACAAUCUCCUCUAUAGACAUACUGUUUUCCUCCUUCAACUAUUCCAUUCUUGGCAUAAACUUGCUCAAAUCGUAGUUUCCCAAACCAGUGUGCUACGCACCAGCCUCUUCCUUCAAACGCCGCACAGCGUCAACUGCAUAGACCAAGUUGCGCAAAUUGCCUUGAAGGACAUUGACAAGCCCAUAAAGGGGGCCCUGUACUGCCCUGAGGACCAUGGCGAGCAGUUGCUCUUUGCCAGGAAGAUCGGCCAACGCCCCUACUGCUGCCCCCCGUAGG
RNAcentral lists this ribosomal RNA (370 nucleotides) under uncultured organism. Its description in RNAcentral is "partial 16S ribosomal RNA". The record is from RNAcentral.